UCUAUGGACAUUACCACCCUGAACAUACUCUAUUUCAUCUGAUCUCAGAAUCUAAGCAUGAUCGCUCUGUUAGUACUUGGAUGGGAGAAAUAAGAAAGUCCUUAUAU
Molecule: ribosomal RNA, 107 nt
Filed under: Erinaceus europaeus (western European hedgehog)
Lineage: Eukaryota; Metazoa; Chordata; Mammalia; Eulipotyphla; Erinaceidae
Source: RNAcentral